GUGCCCGCUGCCGCGUGUAAUACGGAGGUUACAAGCGUUAAUCGGAAUUACUGGGCGUAAAGCGCACGCAGGCGGUCUGUCAAGUCGGAUGUGAAAUCCCCGGGCUCAACCUGGGAACUGCAUUCGAAACUGGCAGGCUAGAGUCUUGUAGAGGGGGGUAGAAUUCCAGGUGUAGCGGUGAAAUGCGUAGAGAUCUGGAGGAAUACCGGUGGCGAAGGCGGCCCCCUGGACAAAGACUGACGCUCAGGUGCGAAAGCGUGGGGAGCAAACAGGAUUAGAUACCCUGGUAGUCC
RNAcentral lists this ribosomal RNA (293 nucleotides) under uncultured microorganism. RNAcentral describes it as "partial 16S ribosomal RNA". It matches the Rfam family "Bacterial small subunit ribosomal RNA", at positions 505 to 796 of the family's 1533-position model. The record is from RNAcentral.